AUGACUCUCGGCAAUGGAUAUCUCGGCUCUUGCAUCGAUGAAGAACGUAGCGAAAUGCGAUACGUGGUGUGAAUUGCAGAAUCCCGCGAACCAUCGAAACUUUGAACGCAAGUUGCGCCUCAAGCCAUUCGGUUGAGGGCACGUAUGCUUGGGUGUCACG
This 160-nucleotide ribosomal RNA is filed under the name Cuscuta obtusiflora var. glandulosa. Its description in RNAcentral is "5.8S ribosomal RNA". It matches the Rfam family "5.8S ribosomal RNA". From Rfam's summary of the family: 5.8S ribosomal RNA (5.8S rRNA) is a component of the large subunit of the eukaryotic ribosome. Lineage: Eukaryota; Viridiplantae; Streptophyta; Magnoliopsida; Solanales; Convolvulaceae. The record is from RNAcentral.